Molecule: long non-coding RNA, 259 nt
Filed under: Aquilegia coerulea
Lineage: Eukaryota; Viridiplantae; Streptophyta; Magnoliopsida; Ranunculales; Ranunculaceae
Description: long non-coding RNA (ACOE_LNC000883)
Source: RNAcentral
AACAUUUUCAUUUUUAUUUGUUUAACAAUAACUUCCGCAGGGUUGUAACCCCUAACUUUAUCUGUAGACUUUUCUAACUUUGAUUUUGUUCACAGGAUCUGAAGGCUGACCCGAAAGAUGAUUUUCUUUCAGCAGUGAGAAAUACAAUUAAGUGCUUGACAAGCCCUGAGAAGUACUUUGAAAAGAUGCUUCGAAUGGCGAUUAACAAGACGGGAACUGAUGAGUGGGCUCUCACUAGGGUUGUUACUACUCGGGCUGA